This 477-nucleotide long non-coding RNA is filed under the name Lactuca sativa (garden lettuce). RNAcentral describes it as "long non-coding RNA (LSAT_LNC001842)". The record is from RNAcentral. Lineage: Eukaryota; Viridiplantae; Streptophyta; Magnoliopsida; Asterales; Asteraceae.
CCGAAUUCAUUGCCACCCUCCUCUUCCUUUACGUGACCGUCUUAACAGUCAUCGGCUACAAAAGCCAGACUGACCCGGCCUUAGACCUUGAUCAGUGCGGCGGCGUUGGCAUCCUCGGUAUCGCAUGGGCCUUCGGUGGCAUGAUCUUCAUUCUCGUUUACUGCACCGCCGGAAUCUCUGGUCAGUAUAUAUAGAUAUCUCAUAUAUCAAUCCAUUAUAAGUUAUUGAGCUGAUGAUGAAUGUAAUUAUGCAGGAGGACACAUUAACCCUGCGGUGACAUUCGGUCUGUUCUUGGCAAGGAAGGUGUCGUUGAUUAGGGCAGUGUUGUACAUGAUAGCACAGUGUUUGGGAGCAAUUUGUGGUGUGGGUUUGGUGAAAGCUUUCCAAAGCUCCUACUACAACAGAUACGGCGGUGGUGCCAACGAAUUAGCCGACGGCUACAACAAAGGCACAGGCCUCGGUGCUGAGAUCAUCGGC